RNAcentral lists this ribosomal RNA (404 nucleotides) under uncultured bacterium. RNAcentral describes it as "bacterial SSU rRNA". It matches the Rfam family "Bacterial small subunit ribosomal RNA", at positions 354 to 774 of the family's 1533-position model. The record is from RNAcentral.
GGGAGGAAUAUUGGGCAAUGGACGGAAGUCUGACCCAGCAACGCCGCGUGAAGGACGAAGGCCUUCGGGUCGUAAACUUCUUUUGAGGGAGACGAGGAAGGACGGUAUCCCUCGAAUAAGCCACGGCUAACUACGUGCCAGCAGCCGCGGUAAAACGUAGGUGGCGAGCGUUAUCCGGAUUCAUUGGGCGUAAAGAGCUUGUAGGUGGUGCGAUAAGUUGGACGUGAAAACUCCGGGCUUAACUUGGAGAGGCCGUUCAAUACUGUCAUGCUAGAGGGCGUCAGAGGGAAGUGGAAUUCCUGGUGUAGCAGUGAAAUGCGUAGAUAUCAGGAGGAACAUCCGUGGCGAAGGCGGCUUCCUGGGGCGCACCUGACACUGAGAAGCGAAAGCUAGGGGAGCAAACG